Sciurus vulgaris (Eurasian red squirrel) is the source of this 106-nucleotide small nuclear RNA. NCBI's taxonomy places the organism in Eukaryota, Metazoa, Chordata, Mammalia, Rodentia, Sciuridae. The record is from Ensembl.
CUGCUAGCUGCAGCAGCACAUACACCGAAAUUAGAACCAUACAGAGAACUUUCCAUGGCAUCUACGUAAGAAUGACAUGAAUGUUCAUGAAGCAUUCCAUGCUUUU